AUCAAGUUGGUGGAAGGCUGGUUAAACCGUUUGGUUUUCGACCACUACGACCUGGGUUCGAUUCCCACAUUAGACA
RNAcentral lists this transfer RNA (76 nucleotides) under Cordylochernes scorpioides. RNAcentral's name for it is "tRNA-Glu". The record is from RNAcentral. Lineage: Eukaryota; Metazoa; Arthropoda; Arachnida; Pseudoscorpiones; Chernetidae.